Molecule: ribosomal RNA, 1148 nt
Filed under: Alcaligenes sp. B89Ydz-zz
Lineage: Bacteria; Pseudomonadati; Pseudomonadota; Betaproteobacteria; Burkholderiales; Alcaligenaceae
Description: bacterial SSU rRNA
Rfam family: Bacterial small subunit ribosomal RNA
Source: RNAcentral
UGGACUGAGAACACGCCCAGACUCCUACGGAGGCAGCAGUGGGGAUUUUGACAAUGGGGAAACCUGAUCCAGCCAUCCCGCGUGUAUGAUGAAGCCUUCGGGUUGUAAAGUACUUUUGCAGAGAAGAAAAGGUAUCUCCUAAUACGAGAUACUGCUGACGGUAUCUGCAGAAUAAGCACCGGCUAACUACGUGCCAGCAGCCGCGGUAAUACGUAGGGUGCAAGCGUUAAUCGGAAUUACUGGGCGUAAAGCGUGUGUAGGCGGUUCGGAAAGAAAGAUGUGAAAUCCCAGGGCUCAACCUUGGAACUGCAUUUUUAACUGCCGAGCUAGAGUAUGUCAGAGGGGGGUAGAAUUCCACGUGUAGCAGUGAAAUGCGUAGAUAUGUGGAGGAAUACCGAUGGCGAAGGCAGCCCCCUGGGAUAAUACUGACGCUCAGACACGAAAGCGUGGGGAGCAAACAGGAUUAGAUACCCUGGUAGUCCACGCCCUAAACGAUGUCAACUAGCUGUUGGGGCCGUUAGGCCUUAGUAGCGCAGCUAACGCGUGAAGUUGACCGCCUGGGGAGUACGGUCGCAAGAUUAAAACUCAAAGGAAUUGACGGGGACCCGCACAAGCGGUGGAUGAUGUGGAUUAAUUCGAUGCAACGCGAAAAACCUUACCUACCCUUGACAUGUCUGGAAUCCCGAAGAGAUUUGGGAGUGCUCGCAAGAGAACCGGAACACAGGUGCUGCAUGGCUGUCGUCAGCUCGUGUCGUGAGAUGUUGGGUUAAGUCCCGCAACGAGCGCAACCCUUGUCAUUAGUUGCUACGCAAGAGCACUCUAAUGAGACUGCCGGUGACAAACCGGAGGAAGGUGGGGAUGACGUCAAGUCCUCAUGGCCCUUAUGGGUAGGGCUUCACACGUCAUACAAUGGUCGGGACAGAGGGUCGCCAACCCGCGAGGGGGAGCCAAUCUCAGAAACCCGAUCGUAGUCCGGAUCGCAGUCUGCAACUCGACUGCGUGAAGUCGGAAUCGCUAGUAAUCGCGGAUCAGAAUGUCGCGGUGAAUACGUUCCCGGGUCUUGUACACACCGCCCGUCACACCAUGGGAGUGGGUUUCACCAGAAGUAGGUAGCCUAACCGUAAGGAGGGCGCUUACCACGGUAYUNC